This 534-nucleotide ribosomal RNA is filed under the name Vittaforma corneae. RNAcentral describes it as "SSU rRNA". It matches the Rfam family "Microsporidia small subunit ribosomal RNA", at positions 44 to 610 of the family's 1311-position model. The record is from RNAcentral. Lineage: Eukaryota; Fungi; Microsporidia; Nosematidae.
UAAGCCAUGCAUGUUUCCGCAAUCAGGGACGAAUAGCUCAGUAAAACUGCGAUGAUUUAGUCUGGCUGUGUAGAUAACUACGUGAAAAUGUAGCUAAGGGAAGGCAGAAUAAGACGCAGGACUAUCAGUUAGUUGGUAGUGUAAUGGACUACCAAGACAGUGACGGUUGACGGGAAAUUAGGGUUUUGUACCGGAGAGGGAGCCUGAGAGAUUGCUCCCACGUCCAAGGACGGCAGCAGGCGCGAAAAUUGCCCACUCUUUGCAGGAGGCAGUUAUGAGACGUGAAGAUGAGUAUCUUGUAAAGAGGGAUAGGAGAAUUGGAGGGCAAGUUUGGUGCCAGCAGCCGCGGUAAUACCGACUCCAAGAGUGUGUAUGAGAGAUGCUGCAGUUAAAAAGUCCGUAGUCAUAGAAGGGCAAAGAGAGAUGCGAGGUCUCACAGUGCGAUGAUGGAGGAGCCGAUGGGGAACAUAGUAUACCAGGGCGAGAGAUGAAAUGCCAAGACCCCUGGUGGACUGAGCGAGGCGAAGGCGAUGU